UUCAUGCGUGAGUUCCAAAUAUCUCUAACGGUCGCCCCAGCGUGAGUUUUUUUAUGCACGUGAUGUUAGAAUGUUCUCUCCAUUCCAGAAUGUGAUUGAUACGUAACAGUACAUUUUAUCCGCGCUGCCCUCAAACUAAAGCACGCAGCCUGUUUAUAUUUAUAAGUUGUUUUAACUUCAAUUUAAAAUGAUUUUCAAACAAGUUUUUAUUUUCUAAAAACAGUUUGAAUUUAGGUGUGUUCCGCCUCCUCAUUCAUUCACAUAAAAAUAGUCAUUUUUACUUUUGCGGAUAAUUACAUUUUUGGGACAUUUCUGACACGGACAAAAUUCCCCAAGCACUUCCCAAUUGUUUGUGCAGUUCACGUCUGCAGACAUUUGCUCAUCUCCCGUCAGAACAGGAUCUGCACACGUGUUCACAUUUUCUAUUCCACAUUUCUAUUGUAGUGUACUGUAUGUAUAGAGCAUAAUAUAUUUGUGUAUAUUCUUUAUCACCGCGGAAACGUGAGGUAACGUUACUCAUUUUAUAACCUUUAUGAUGUUAUAGUCAAUCGUGCUUAUGUAGCCACAUUCUUCUAUUAGCUCUGUAAAACAAUGCUAAAUGCGUCAGAGAAGUAUUAUCUUGUGUUGCAUUUUGAAGCUACCAUGGCCUUAUGACUCUCAAGUGGUGCAGCGGUCAAAGGCACAGCACAUCAGUACUAGAGGUGUCACUACAGACUCCCUGGUUCAAAUCCAGGCUGCGUUUCCAUCAAAAAACCAGAAACAUUAUUUGCCAAUAUCAUAACUGGAGCUGGACAUCUUUGGAGCUGAAGAAUGAGGACAGCUUUUGUAUGCUAACGUACACUCCUUAACAGUUGUACUGGAUGAAAACACAGCAAGAAAACGCAUGCCAAUAUGCAUAGUAUCAUGGCUGGUCACCUGUCAAGUCACAUGUCAGGCAGACUUUGCAAUGCCUCCGUGUGCGACUACCUUGAGAAGCAGUUUGAGGGACUUUGCAGGGAAAAUGUCGUGCAGUGAGGCGUAGGGGAUUGUCUACAGCAGGACGACCCCCAGUGGAUGGGCGCCGAGGGGUGUGGUGCUCCUCCAGCAGCUCUCUCAUGAGGUUCUCUCUGUAUUUUUGGUGGUCCACCUUCCCUGUGGCCGACAUGGUUGCUGUAUGGACAGUGGAGAGGACAUGGACGUCUCGCUUGUCAUGCCACUUUACUGCC
Molecule: long non-coding RNA, 1205 nt
Organism: Oncorhynchus nerka (sockeye salmon)
Lineage: Eukaryota; Metazoa; Chordata; Actinopteri; Salmoniformes; Salmonidae
Exons: 5
Source: RefSeq, a predicted model, not a curated record